CUUAAAUAGUCUUCCUUCCAGGACUUACUCCGUAGGAAAGGCGUCGCAGCGCCCAAGAGUCAGUUCUGCCGGGCUGCAGCGCGAACUGUGGUUGGAUGCCUUUGUGGUCUUCCC
This is an unclassified non-coding RNA of Aotus nancymaae (Ma's night monkey), 114 nucleotides long. Lineage: Eukaryota; Metazoa; Chordata; Mammalia; Primates; Aotidae. The record is from Ensembl.